AUACGUAGGGGGCGAGCGUUGUCCGGAAUGAUUGGGCGUAAAGGGCGCGUAGGCGGCCUGUUAAGUCUGGAGUGAAAGUCCUGUUUUCCAGAUGGGAAUUGCUUUGGAUACUGAUGGGCUUGAGUGCAGGAGAGGUUAUCGGAAUUCCCGGUGUAGCGGUGAAAUGCGUAGAGAUCGGGAGGAACACCAGUGGCGAAGGCGGGUAACUGGACUGCAACUGACGCUGAGGCGCGAAAGUGUGGGGAGCAAACAGGAUUAGAUACCCUGGUAGUCCACACUGUAAACGAUGAAUGCUAGGUGUAAGAGGUAUCGACCCCUUUUGUGCCGGAGUUAACACAAUAAGCAUUCCGCCUGGGGAGUACAGCCGCAAGGUUGAAACUCAAAUGAAUUGGCGGGG
Molecule: ribosomal RNA, 397 nt
Filed under: uncultured bacterium
Lineage: Bacteria
Description: partial 16S ribosomal RNA
Rfam family: Bacterial small subunit ribosomal RNA
Source: RNAcentral